Molecule: ribosomal RNA, 675 nt
Filed under: uncultured bacterium
Lineage: Bacteria
Description: bacterial SSU rRNA
Rfam family: Bacterial small subunit ribosomal RNA
Source: RNAcentral
GAGUUUGAUCCUGGCUCAGGAUGAACGCUAGCGGCAGGCUUAACACAUGCAAGUCGAGGGGUAACAGGGAGUGCUUGCACUCCGCUGACGACCGGCGCACGGGUGCGUAACGCGUAUGCAACCUACCUUUUACAGGGGGAUAGUCAAGAGAAAUUUUGAAUAAUACCCCAUACGAUCAUUGAUACACAUGUAUUAGUGAAGAAAACUACGGUGGUAAAAGAUGGGCAUGCGUCCUAUUAGCUAGAUGGAGAGGUAACGGCUCCCCAUGGCGACGAUAGGUAGGGGUCCUGAGAGGGAGAUCCCCCACACUGGUACUGAGACACGGACCAGACUCCUACGGGAGGCAGCAGUGAGGAAUAUUGGACAAUGGAGGCAACUCUGAUCCAGCCAUGCCGCGUGCAGGAAGACUGCCCUAUGGGUUGUAAACUGCUUUUAUACAGGAAGAAACACUCCCUCGUGAGGGAGCUUGACGGUACUGUACGAAUAAGGAUCGGCUAACUCCGUGCCAGCAGCCGCGGUAAUACGGAGGAUCCAAGCGUUAUCCGGAAUUAUUGGGUUUAAAGGGUCCGUAGGUGGUUUGCUAAGUCAGAGGUGAAAUCCUGCCGCUUAACGGUAGAACUGCCUUUGAUACUGGCAAACUUGAGUCAUUGUGAAGUAGUUAGAAUGUGUAGUGUA